CGGUCCCUACGGGAGGCAGCAGUGAGGAAUAUUGGUCAAUGGACGGAAGUCUGAGCCAGCCAUGCCGCGUGCAGGAAGAUGGCUCUAUGAGUUGUAAACUGCUUUUGUACAAGGGUAAACCUGAAUACGUGUAUUCAGCUGACAGUACUGUACGAAUAAGGAUCGGCUAACUCCGCGCCAGCAGCCGCGGUAAUACGGAGGAUCCAAGCGUUAUCCGGAUUUAUUGGGUUUAAAGGGUGCGUAGGCGGAUUGAUAAGUUAGAGGUGAAAUGUCCGAGCUCAACUCGGGAACUGCCUCUAAUACUG
Molecule: ribosomal RNA, 305 nt
Filed under: uncultured bacterium
Lineage: Bacteria
Description: bacterial SSU rRNA
Rfam family: Bacterial small subunit ribosomal RNA
Source: RNAcentral